This 253-nucleotide ribosomal RNA is filed under the name uncultured bacterium. RNAcentral's name for it is "partial 16S ribosomal RNA". It matches the Rfam family "Bacterial small subunit ribosomal RNA", at positions 524 to 776 of the family's 1533-position model. The record is from RNAcentral.
UACGGAGGGUGCGAGCGUUGUCCGGAAUCAUUGGGCGUAAAGGGCGCGUAAGUGGCUUCUUAAGCGUGCGGUGAAAGCCUGGGGCUCAACCCCGGGUCGGCCGUGCGAACUGGGGGGCUGGAGCACUGUAGAGGCAGGCGGAAUUCCGGGUGUAGCGGUGGAAUGCGUAGAGAUCCGGAAGAACACCGGUGGCGAAGGCGGCCUGCUGGGCAGUUGCUGACACUGAGGCGCGACAGCGUGGGGAGCAAACAGG